Molecule: unclassified non-coding RNA, 320 nt
Filed under: Hevea brasiliensis (rubber tree)
Lineage: Eukaryota; Viridiplantae; Streptophyta; Magnoliopsida; Malpighiales; Euphorbiaceae
Source: RNAcentral
AUCUGUCUAUCUUUACCCUUGUCGUUGCCAAAUAUAUGAAGUGAAGGAACAUUGAUUGAACCUUGCUGGCAAUUGUUCAUAUUAACAGCAAACCCCGAGCACAGAAUCGCAAAUCUGAAUUCCAUCUCUCCUUUUAGCUUCUGCUGAUGUAGGCAAACUAAAGCGGCCAUUGCAGCUCCUUGUGAAAAUCCCAAUAUCCCAUCAAAAGGGCCUGUUUUCGAAUAUAAGUCUUUUACAUAUGCAAUUGAUUUGUCGAAACCUUCAGUUUGCUUCUGGUACUGAAGAGGAUCAAAUGGACUAUCAGCUAUCUUCCAGUCAGA